GUUAAAUCAGCAGUGUUAAAGUGUAUUUACUCUAAUAGAGUCAUUAUAACGACAGCUGGAGCAAAACGCCUCCCAGUGUGGGUGAUAAUUCGCGGAGUUAAAAGACGCAGUGUCAAUGUUACACUAGAAAGCUCCUCCCACCACAGACUCCUUUUCAAACUGAGAGGAUUUUUCACGGCGCCAUUUUCUUCACAUCAGUUACACGUAGUUCGAUGAAGAGCACUGACUAUAAGAAAUUACUGUCUACAGGAAGCAUGCCAGAGGAAUUGUAACCUUUUUCCCUUACCUCAGUGGCCCGUACUCCAAAAAUGGCUAUUGUCUGUACAUGUCACUCUCCAAGGAACAUUAUUAUGAUGGCGAGAGUGGCACUGGGUACUUGGCCUGGAGGAUUAAAACCAUACAGAGAUGCACCGCUAAAGGGAGGCGAUUAUCAUCUGGAGCACCAGGAGAUGGAUCAUCG
Oreochromis aureus is the source of this 460-nucleotide long non-coding RNA. RefSeq lists it as uncharacterized. The transcript has 4 exons. NCBI's taxonomy places the organism in Eukaryota, Metazoa, Chordata, Actinopteri, Cichliformes, Cichlidae. The record is from RefSeq and is a predicted model, not a curated record.